AUUGAACGCUGGCGGCGUGCCUAACACAUGCAAGUCGAACGGAAAAAGGGUGCUUGCUCGUGGAGCGAACGGGGGACGAGUGUGUAAUACCUAGGAAUCUCCCUGGUAGUAGCUGCUCACGACAGCAAACAAUAGCUCAUACCGCCUGCGUGUUGAGGCGGAGAGUGGGAGAACUUCGGACGUCUCGCUAUGAGAAGAGCCUAGGUCGGAUUAGCUAGUUGGUGGGGUAAAGGCCUACCAAGGCGACGAUCCGUAGCUGGUCUGAGAGGAUGACCAGUCACACUGGAACUGAGACACGGUCCAGACUCCUGCGGGAGGCAGCAGUGGGGAAUAUUGGACAAUGGGCGAAAGCCUGAUCCAGCCAUGCCGCGUGUGUGAAGAAGGUCUUCGGGUUGUAAAGCGCUUUAAUUAGGGAAGAAGAGCAUUAGGCUAAUACCUUGGUGUCUUGACGGUACCUGAAGAAUAAGCACCGGCUAACUACGUG
Molecule: ribosomal RNA, 484 nt
Filed under: uncultured bacterium
Lineage: Bacteria
Description: partial 16S ribosomal RNA
Rfam family: Bacterial small subunit ribosomal RNA
Source: RNAcentral